AUGGUUAACCCUUUUUCAGGGAGUGGAACAAUGCAAACAGUGCCUCUCUCUAGAUGGGAACUUUGCUUCAUGGGACAUUACAAAAAGGAAGUCAUAUUUGAAGGGCUAGAUGAACCCUGGCUUCAAGAGGGAGAGCCAUGCAGCAAAGGGUGUGAGGAACAUCUAGGAGCCGAGAGUUCCUACCGGAUGACAACUAGCAAGGAGAGAGAAUACUCAGUUCUUACAACUAAAAGUGAUGUAUCCUGCCAACAAUCACUGAGCUUUGAAGAAAGUCCCAAAUGCCAGAGGAAACCUAUCGCUUGGCUAACACCUUGAUACCAUCUCUUUGCGACCUUGAGAGGAGAAUCCAGUUAUAACAUCCCCAGACUUUUGUCCUACAAAACUGUGGACUGAUAAACUGUUGUCAUUUUAAACCUCUGAGUUUCUAACAUUUUGUUUUCUAAAGUUUUGUCAAACUGUUAAGAAUCACUAUAUUCCUAAAAUUGUACUUAGAAAAUGCAUGAAGUUUGUGUUCCUUAAAUAAAAGGUUUCUUUGGGAAAAAAAAAAUAAUUAU
This 554-nucleotide long non-coding RNA is filed under the name Oryctolagus cuniculus (rabbit). RNAcentral describes it as "lncRNA (ENSOCUG00000036602.1)". Lineage: Eukaryota; Metazoa; Chordata; Mammalia; Lagomorpha; Leporidae. The record is from RNAcentral.